AAGGAUGGACUCCUUUGCAUAUCGCUGUUCAAAGUCGGAAUAGAGACAUUGCAAAGAUCUUGUUGAUCAAUGGCGCUGACAAAACCAGAAGAACGAAGGACGGGAAAACAGCUUUGGAUUUGGCUCUGUGUUACGGAAGAGAUUUCAAGUCAUAUGAUCUUGCCAAGCUGUUGAAGAUUUUACCUGCAGUCUGAGAUCUGUAAGACAGCAACAGUUUGAUUUGAGAACCAUCCGGUUUAGCAAACCGGUACGCCCUUAUUUGGUUUAAACCAUUGAUCGGUUUUAAGAGUUUUGGAAAUCUGGCCAAACCGAUCGGUUUGAACCGGGUUAGAUGGAAGAAAUCUGAUUUGGUUUGUAACACUAAACUCAUGUUUGCACAUACAUGUUCUUAUUUAUUAAAAUCCAAAAAAUCAUGCAUAAUUAUA
Tarenaya hassleriana is the source of this 425-nucleotide long non-coding RNA. RefSeq lists it as uncharacterized. The record is from RefSeq and is a predicted model, not a curated record. Lineage: Eukaryota; Viridiplantae; Streptophyta; Magnoliopsida; Brassicales; Cleomaceae. The transcript is spliced from 2 exons.